UGAGGAAUAUUGGGCAAUGCCCGCAAGGGUGACCCAGCAACGCCGCGUGGAGGAUGAAUGUCGUAAGAUUGUAAACUCCUGUUAGAGGGGAAGAAUAGUACCGGUUGGACCGGUAUAUGACUGUACCCUCAGAGAAAGCCCCGGCUAACUACGUGCCAGCAGCCGCGGUAAUACGUAGGGGGCAAGCGUUGUCCGGAUUUACUGGGUGUAAAGGGCGCGCAGGCGGGAUAAAAAGUCAGUGGUGAAAUCCUACAGCUUAACUGUAGAACUGCCUGUGAUACUUUUAUUCUUGAGUUCGGGAGAGAGAGACCGAGUUCCAGGUGUAGUGGUGAAAUACGUAGAUAUCUGGAAGAACGCCAGUUGCGAAGGCGGUCUCUUGGUCCGACACUGACGCUGAGGCGCGAAAGCGUGGGGAGCAAACA
Molecule: ribosomal RNA, 422 nt
Filed under: uncultured bacterium
Lineage: Bacteria
Description: bacterial SSU rRNA
Rfam family: Bacterial small subunit ribosomal RNA
Source: RNAcentral